AUGUGCAUCCCACAUGUUAGCAAAUCCCAUUUCCAAACUUUAAGGGACCACUCUAGUGGCACCCCACAAAGAAAAUAGCAAACGUUUUACAAUGCCAUCGAACUGAUUUAUGCGGCGAACGAAUAUGAGCCCAUAAAGCAGUUCGAUGACUUAAAGCCUGACCCGGCAGAAAAUAGGCUGGGAUCAUAUUACAUUCUGAACACGCAAACAGCGUGUGGUCGUCAAGCGCAAUUCGGUUUGGCGCAAUUAGCCUUCUCCGUAUCUCUCUCUCUCUCUGAGCAUUCUCUUUUUCGGUGUCGAUCACUGAUUGGUGAUCAAAUACAUAACAAUACAUAAGUGCUUUCAAGUGUCUCCGAACUAAAUAAGUGUCAGAAUAAUUUUGGAUAACUGAAUAAAGCAAUUCUGUCUUGACCCUCAAACCGAGAGGUUCGUUUGCCAUUUUAAUUAUCGAGGAUGAUGACAACCAAAAAGGAGAUUUCUCUACAUGGCUACCAAAGUGACAGGCUACCAAAGUGAAAAAGUGUGAAAAACAGUUGUGAAGAUUUUGAAGUGAAGAUUUUGCACCAUGACGGUGACAUCGAUCUUAAUUAUAAUGCUAGCAUUAAUUUUGAUGUGCGCAACAGUGGCAUUAAUGCAGCAAGUAAUCACCGAGUGGGCUAAAGGAAUGGAAAAGGCACAAUUUGCCAUAUUAACGAACUAACUGAAGUGAAAUAAAACGGACAAGGAGCGUUAGAACAGUGUAGUUUGAGUGAAUCAGCAACAUGGGCACUACGGAGUCCAAGAACACGGAAAAUAAAGGAACAUUCACGGAAGCAAGCUUUAAAAGCUGCGAAGAGUGUGUCGGCUUUAAAUAAACUAAGUGAGGUUUAAAAAAAAAAAAAAA
This 883-nucleotide long non-coding RNA is filed under the name Aedes aegypti (yellow fever mosquito). Its description in RNAcentral is "lncRNA AAEL023419". Lineage: Eukaryota; Metazoa; Arthropoda; Insecta; Diptera; Culicidae. The record is from RNAcentral.